UGCUCGGUGGAAGCUGGGUUUAUACUAACUUUCCUUUGCAGAAUUUUUACUGAUUCAUAAAGCCAGUGGUUGCAUAUUACAAGCAGAUCGUUAGUUCACACAACACAAAUGUCAUUUGGUCACGGAUAUUUUUGUUGCUGUUCGAUCGUUUCUUUCCCUACUUAUCAACUGGUGUGGAUGGACCUAGAGAAGAUGUUCACCCUUUCCAGCAAGGAAUAUAGUUCCUUCAUCUGUUUGUCCUUUAUUAAAUUAAAGUCAUGCUGAGGACGACGCGUUAUUGCCCCUGGUUGUCCUGCUGCCCCUUCCUGUGAGCAGCCUGUAAGUUCCUGCCCGAUGCCGAGUGCCGGUCCGUGUCAUCUUGCCCACCGGAGGAACAGAGUCCAAGCCUCACGGGUGGUGCGCCGUGCCUGGGGGAAGGGGGCGUGAGUGUGUCAUGUUUGAGCAGGUGCUUUAGGAAACAGAGGGGGCUUCUGCAGUCUUCUCAUCCUUUUCCCCACUGCAGGAGCUGCUCCCUCCCCUGUGGUCCCAGAUAGGACUCAUGGGGCAGAGCCUUCACAGCUGCCCCUCAGGGGCUCCGUGUCACGGACGGCAGGGGGAGCAUUGUUUGCCGUACAGCAAAGCUGACCAGGAUGAGCUGCCACCGGGUGCUGUGCCAGGUGAGGGGGCACAGCAGUCAGCGAGACCAUACUUGGAGAGGGGGCAGUGGGAGCACUGCCCAGGCCUCACCAGAGUGACGGGUCCAGAUAACACCCCACUAUGUGGGGUCCAGAUUACACCACACCACGUGAGUGACGGGUCCGGAUUAUACCACACCACGUGGGGGUCCGGAUAACACCCCACUAUGUGGGGUCCAGAUUACACCACACCACAUGAGUGACGGGUCCGGAUUAUACCACACCACGUGGGGGUCUGGAUAACACCCCACUAUGUGGGGUCCAGAUUACACCACACCACGUGGGGGUCCAGAUAACACCCCACUAUGUGGGGGUCCGGAUAACACCCCACCACGUGGGGGUCCAGGGUCAGGGCUUGCCCUUCUGAGCCUUUUCAUCUCUGUGAAUGACGGGAGGGGAGGGAUGACGCCAAGCCCACAGGGCUGGUAGAGGACUAAGUGGCCUGAGUGUGUAGGAAGGCCGAGCACGGUGCUGGGCACGCUGAGUCUUCUGUAGGUUUGACCCUUCCUCUGUUCCUUUUUUCCUGAGCUUCACUUUUGUUAUUUGUAAAACUGGGUGACAGUUGGUAUCUCCAUAGCCCUCGAAGAUGAGACCACUCCCUUCUUGUUCUCAUGGCCAAGGAAGGCCCUGCCAUGCCUGAGCUUUGCAGGUGGGAAAGGCUUCCUCUGCCCCUCCAGGGAGUGUAAACAUGGAGUCUUGGCAUUUCUGUAUUCCCAGGACCCUUUAUUGGUCUUUGCAUAAUGCCCCACUUUUACUCUUCUUGCAGAACUUUCUCCCUUCAACCACUAACCUAAGUUGGUGGACGCGGGGGUAACGAGGCACGGUGGCAGUGAUGUCUGGCCUGAGCCAUCACCGGGCAUUUACCAGCUGUGUGCUCUGGGGGGCAACUCGCCUCUGCGUUUCCCCUUUUGUUUACAACAGGUGCAGUAGGAGCACCCUGAAAGACUGUGAUGGGCACUCACUGAGUCAGCACAGACGGGAGGCACAGAGAGUGGUGCUGGGAACCUUUGUAACUACUGACAAUAAAUGUUUCUCAUGAUGCAGGCUUACAGAUGAGGUGACAGACGUGGUAUGCCAGCCCUGAGGCACCUGGACAGGUCUGAGGUCCUGCUUGGCUUGGUGGUUGGCUCUGGAUCCUGUGGGACCCCAGCAGGCAGGGAGCAGGCAGUGUGGGCUGGGCUGGGGCAGAGGCUACCCUGGCACCUUGCUCUCUUUUUACCUGGUAUUGGGGGCACAAGUUGGCCACCUAGCCAAGGUCUUGGGAAUCCUGAGGACCAAACUCCAGUGGCCAGGAGCAGGUUAGAAAUGCAUUUUCCUGGGACUUAAAGCCACAACGUCCUGAGGGAGUCUGGGGUGGCCCGAGUCUGCAUUUCCGCCUGCCCUCAGGUGAUUCUGUGAAGCCUUGACUCCCAUGGUCCUGGCCUCCAAGCCCCACCCUUUCUGAGACCUCUGCCUUCCUCUCUCCUCUCCCUCCCUGCUCACCUAACUGACCUCCGCUGAGCUGCUGGACAGGUGUCCCCUCCUCUAGGAGGCCUCCUAGCCUUCCCUCCAGCUCAGCACAAUGCUGAGAGAAGCGACACUGGACAGUAUGGCCUCCUCCCCUCCUGUGGUGUGGCUGAGCCCAGGGACAGUCACUGGCCAGUGGGAGGAAGGAAGGCUUUGCAUGGCUCUCUGGGCAUGCCCCUGCCUGGGAAGUGGGAAUCAGGUCAGAGGCAACUCCUCCUGGGCCCCAGGGGAGCUGGCAGCUCCACCAGACCCUUCACUGCUGUGUCAUCAGAAUGACAGUUCUCAAACAGGGUCAUCUCCAAAGGGCAGUGAGCUAGGUGCUCCUGUGCAGCACCCCAGGCAGGCCCUGCCCCGUUCUUUCACUAACCUGUCAGAGGCCAGGUGAGCAGCUUGUGUGUUCCUGGCUCAGUGCCUGGGCAGGUGUGCCGGGCAGGGCCCAUUCUCAGGAGCCGUCUUGCCUGCUUGGUGCAGACAAACCCAGGCUGUGACCUGCUCAACAGAUGUGCAGCAGGGACCCCUAGGGAGGUCUCUGGGCCUGCACUGAUUUCAAAAGGUUAUCACUUCUGUGGGCACGGACGUGGAUAGUGUGGGAACGUGGCCUUUCCAGCCUUGGUGGCCUCCUCUAUAAGGAAGGUAUAGUAUAACAGUACCACCCGGUAGGCACCCAGUAGGAGCGCAGACAUCCCUUCAUUCCUUUCUCAGACCCAUGGCUUGGUCCCGGACCAGCAGCACAGCAGCCUCCGGGAACCUCUUAGAAAUGCAGAUUUCCCAGCAGUUCCGAGUUUUCCAGCAGUUUCCCGAGUCAGGGACAGCACUCAGGGUGAUGCCACUGCAGGUUCAAGUUUGAGGACCACUGGUCUAGAAUGGACUUGCUCUCUCCCCUUCCCCCUUCCUCUCUCCCCCUUCCUGCACUCACUCCUGCUGGCCGGCACUUCCUCCAUGCAGCUGCUGGUUUCUGAGGGCCGCCACCAGGUGUCAGGGCAGCCUCAGGAAUGUUCCAGCUGUCCCACCUUCCCUGCCAGCCUGGCCUCUGCUGCCUCAGGAGGUGUCCUGAGAAGGGAAGCAGCUUCCCGAGCUUCUCACAGGAUGAAUGCUUCCCUGUGCUUUUCUAACUGCUCAGGGUGAGUCAUCCGGGCCUGAAGGUGGUGAAGGCGGCAGAUAUGUCAGCAUCCUGUGUGGUGGGGACAGGGACAACCCCACAGCACCUAGUGGGAUGUUAUGAGAUUUAGGGGGCACGCCCAACUCCUCCUCUACUACUGCCCUAAGUCCUAAGUCCUCACUCUCUUAUUCUGCCCUAGGAGGCUUCUCCAACCACCCUGCUCUGUGCCCCAUUGUGACUCUGGCCAGGGCCUCAGACCCUCCACCCAGUCCAGUCCUCACAGUGGGCCUCUCAGGCCUGUCCUGCUGUGCCAAUGCUGAGGCCGACUUUGGGCUACUGGUCCAGGCCCUGCCCAGUCCUGUGACUACACGUCCCUAACUGCCACCACAGGCUUGGUGGGCCACAAACCUCCUCCUGAACACAGCCCACAGCCCACGGCUUUGCCCACGGUCCCCUUCCAGCUUGCCUGCUCCAGCUCCCCUGAGUUCAAAGCCAGCCCACACCUUCCCAUGCGCUGGACACCCUCCCCGGCACUGGUGCAGGAGGCUGAGUAGGGCAGGCAAGGUCUCUGCCUGCAGCCACACCAACCCAGCGGCUACCCUCCCAGCAGGGCUGGGCAGAGCAUCGGGAGGGCUGCCUGGGUCCGGAAGGGCAUAUGCUGGAUUCCAGGCGAGGAGCUGCUGUGCUAGGCCCCCAGGCGUGCUCAGGUGGGAGUGGCUAUGGGCCAUGGGCUGCGGUGGCAGCUAACAAAACAAUGCCAUUAAAAAUGGGCAAAGGACAGGAAUAGAGACAUACAAAUGGCUAAGAUGUAUAUGAGAAAAUGCUCAACAUCAUUGAUCAGGGAAAUACAAAUCAAAACCGCAGCGAGAUAUUAUCUCACCUCACUUAGAAUGGGUAUUAUUAAUAAAACAAAAAAUAACAGAUGCUGGUGAGAAUGCAGAGAAAUGGAAACUCUGCUACACUGUCAGUAGGAAUGCAAAUCAGUACAAACAUGAUGGAAACCAGUAUAGAGAAUUCUAAAAACACCGCAAAAUAGAGCUACUGUAUGGUCCAGCAAUCUCACUGGGGGCGGGGAGGGGUAUUCAUCCAAAGGAAAAAGUUCAGUGUAACAAAGGGUAACUUGCAUGCUUGUGUUUAUCACAGCAUUAUUCACAAUAGCAAAGAUACUGAGAAUGCAAGUAUUCAUCAACUGAUGAAUGGAUAAGUAAGAUGUGCUAAAUAUACACAGUAGAAUACUAUUUGGCAUAACAAAUAAUGAAAUCAUGUCAUUUUCAGAAAUAAGGGUAGAUCUGGAAGUCAUCGAGGAAAAUAAGCCAGGCACAGAAGGACAAAUACCGCAGGUUCUCACUCACAUGUAGGAGCUAAAAAAAGCUUGAUCUCAUGGACCCAGAGAACAUGAUGGCAGUACCAGAGGCCGGGAAGAUGGGGUGUGGAAGGGAGAAUGAAGAGAAGUUGGCUAUUGGGUACAGACCUGCAGUUAGAAGAAAUAAGCUGUAAUGUUUGACAGCAGACUAUGGUGACUAAAUAACAAUAUUAUGUGUAAAUAUUCAAAGUAACCAGAAUACACAUUUUAUGCAUGUAACAAGCAUUUGUAUUAAGGAAGGAGACCACUACUACUCCUGCUGCCCUCCUCCCCCCACCUUGCCUAGUUCAAAGACAGGAGAAA
Long non-coding RNA from Cercocebus atys (sooty mangabey), 4945 nucleotides. RefSeq lists it as uncharacterized. The transcript is spliced from 3 exons. Lineage: Eukaryota; Metazoa; Chordata; Mammalia; Primates; Cercopithecidae. The record is from RefSeq and is a predicted model, not a curated record.